RNAcentral lists this transfer RNA (77 nucleotides) under bacterium CG10_46_32. Its description in RNAcentral is "tRNA-Val". It matches the Rfam family "tRNA". Rfam says of the family: Transfer RNA (tRNA) molecules are approximately 80 nucleotides in length. Their secondary structure includes four short double-helical elements and three loops (D, anti-codon, and T loops). The record is from RNAcentral. RNAcentral also lists the same sequence under 1 other name.
GGGUGCUUAGCUCAGUUGGUUAGAGCGUCUCGUUUACACCGAGAAGGCCUGGGGUUCGAAUCCCUAAGCACCCACCA